GACGAACGCUGGCGGCGUGCUUAACACAUGCAAGUCGAACGGUAAGGCCCUUCGGGGUACACGAGUGGCGAACGGGUGAGUAACACGUGGGUGAUCUGCCCUGCACUUUGGGAUAAGCCUGGGAAACGGGGUCUAAUACCGGAUAGGACAAUGCGCUUCACGGUGUGUGGUGGAAAGCUUUUGCGGUGGGGGAUGGGCCCGCGGCCUAUCAGCUUGUUGGUGGGGUAAUGGCCUAACAAGGCGACGACGGGUAGCCGGCCUGGGAGGGUGAACGGCCACACUGGGACUGAGAUACGGCCCAGACUCCUACGGGAGGCAGCAUGGGGAAAUAUUGCACAAUGGGCGCAAGCCUGAUGCAGCGACGCCGCGUGAGGGAUGGCGGCCUUCGAGUUGUAAACCUCUUUCAGUAGGGACGAAGCGCAAGUGACGGUACCUACAGAAGAAGGACCGGCCAACUACGUGCCAGCCGCCGCCGUAA
This 478-nucleotide ribosomal RNA is filed under the name uncultured bacterium. RNAcentral's name for it is "partial 16S ribosomal RNA". It matches the Rfam family "Bacterial small subunit ribosomal RNA", at positions 28 to 523 of the family's 1533-position model. The record is from RNAcentral.